Molecule: ribosomal RNA, 856 nt
Filed under: uncultured Chloroflexota bacterium
Lineage: Bacteria; Bacillati; Chloroflexota
Description: bacterial SSU rRNA
Rfam family: Bacterial small subunit ribosomal RNA
Source: RNAcentral
GCAAUGCGGGGUGCUACCAUGCAGUCGACAGUAGCCUUGAGCAAUCGAGGUGAGAGUGGCAAACGGGUGAGUAACACGUAGGCGACCAACCCCGAAGCGGGGAAUAACUGCUGGAAACGGUAGCUAAUACCCCAUGUGCCUGGGGAUUCGGUUUUCCAGGUAAAGCCUUAGGGUGUUUCGGGACGGGCCUGCGGCCCAUCAGGUAGUUGGUAGGGUAACGGCCUACCAAGCCGAUGACGGGUAGGGGGCGUGAGAGCGUGACCCCCCACACUGGCACUGCGACACGGGCCAGACUCCUACGGGAGGCAGCAGUGAGGAAUAUUGCACAAUGGGCGCAAGCCUGAUGCAGCAACGCCGCGUGGGCGAUGAAGGCCUUCGGGUUGUAAAGCCCUUUUCUGGGGGACGAGGAAGGACGGUACCCCAGGAAUAAGGUUCGGCUAACUACGUGCCAGCAGCCGCGGUAAUACGUAGGAACCGAGCGUUAUCCGGAUUCACUGGCGUAAAGCGCGUGUAGGCGGUUUCACAAGUCGUAUGUGAAAGCUCCUGGCUUAACUGGGAGAGGUCGUACGAGACUGUGGGGCUUGAGGUCGGGAGAGGGACGUGGAAUUCCCGGUGCAGUGGUGGAAUGCGUAGAUAUCGGGAGGAACACCAGUGGCGAAGGCGACGUCCUGGUCCGCACCUGACGCUCAGACGCGAAAGCGUGGGGAGCAAACAGGCUUAGAUACCCUGGUAGUCCACGCUGUAAACGGUGGAUACUAGGUGUUGGUGGUUUAACGCCAUCAGUGCCGAAGCAAACGCGUUAAGUAUCCCGCCUGGGGACUACGGCCGCAAGGCUAAAACUCAAAGGAAUUGACGG